ACGGGAGGCAGCAGUGGGGAAUAUUGGACAAUGGGGGGAAACCCUGAUCCAGCGACGCCGCGUGAGUGAAGAAGUAUUUCGGUAUGUAAAGCUCUAUCAGCAAGGAAGAAAAUGACGGUACUUGACUAAGAAGCUCCGGCUAAAUACGUGCCAGCAGCCGCGGUAAUACGUAUGGAGCAAGCGUUAUCCGGAUUUACUGGGUGUAAAGGGAGCGUAGACGGCAAAGCAAGUCUGAAGUGAAAUCCCGGGGCUCAACCCCGGAACUGCUUUGGAACUGUUAAACUUGAGUGCAGGAGAGGAAAGUGGAAUUCCUAGUGUAGCGGUGAAAUGCGUAGAUAUUAGGAGGAAUACCAGUGGCGAAGGCGGCUUUCUGGACUGUAACUGACACUGAGGCUCGAAAGCGUGGGGAGCAAACAGGAUUAGAUACCCUGGUA
RNAcentral lists this ribosomal RNA (434 nucleotides) under uncultured Lachnospiraceae bacterium. Its description in RNAcentral is "partial 16S ribosomal RNA". It matches the Rfam family "Bacterial small subunit ribosomal RNA", at positions 341 to 792 of the family's 1533-position model. The record is from RNAcentral. Lineage: Bacteria; Bacillati; Bacillota; Clostridia; Lachnospirales; Lachnospiraceae.